UGAAAGGCUUCGGCCGCCGAAGGAGGAGCCCGCGGUCGAUUAGCUUGUUGGUGAGGUAAUGGCUCACCAAGGCUUCGAUCGAUAGCCGGCCUGAGAGGGCACACGGCCACACUGGCACUGAGACACGGGCCAGACUCUACGGGAGGCAGCAGUGAGGAAUCUUGCACAAUGGGGGAAACCCUGAUGCAGCGACGCCGCGUGAGUGAUGACGCCUUUCGGGGUGUAAAGCUCUUUCAGUGGAACGAUAAUGACGUACCCACAGAAGAAGUGCGCUAACUA
RNAcentral lists this ribosomal RNA (279 nucleotides) under uncultured bacterium. RNAcentral's name for it is "partial 16S rRNA". It matches the Rfam family "Bacterial small subunit ribosomal RNA", at positions 201 to 503 of the family's 1533-position model. The record is from RNAcentral.